RNAcentral lists this ribosomal RNA (301 nucleotides) under uncultured bacterium. RNAcentral's name for it is "partial 16S ribosomal RNA". It matches the Rfam family "Bacterial small subunit ribosomal RNA", at positions 509 to 807 of the family's 1533-position model. The record is from RNAcentral.
CAGUCGCCGCGGUAAAACGUAGGUGGCAAGCGUUGUCCGGAAUUAUUGGGCGUAAAGGGCUCGCAGGCGGUUUCUUAAGUCUGGUGUGAAAGCCCCCGGCUCAACCGGGGAGGGUCAUUGGGAACUGGGAAACUUGAGUGCAGAAGAGGAGAGUGGAAUUCCACGUGUAGCGGUGAAAUGCGUAGAGAUGUGGAGGAACACCAGUGGCGAAGGCGACUCUCUGGUCUGUAACUGACGCUGAGGAGCGAAAGCGUGGGGAGCGAACAGGAUUAGAUACCCCAGUAGUCCCUGUCCCUUAUAC